Molecule: ribosomal RNA, 508 nt
Filed under: uncultured bacterium
Lineage: Bacteria
Description: partial 16S ribosomal RNA
Rfam family: Bacterial small subunit ribosomal RNA
Source: RNAcentral
AUUGAACGCUGGCGGCAGGCCUAACACAUGCAAGUCGAGCGGCAGCGGGAAAGUAGCUUGCUACUUUUGCCGGCGAGCGGCGGACGGGUGAGUAAUGCCUGGGAAAUUGCCCAGUCGAGGGGGAUAACAGUUGGAAACGACUGCUAAUACCGCAUACGCCCUACGGGGGAAAGCAGGGGACCUUCGGGCCUUGCGCGAUUGGAUAUGCCCAGGUGGGAUUAGCUAGUUGGUGAGGUAAUGGCUCACCAAGGCGACGAUCCCCAGCUGGUCUGAGAGGAGGAUCAGCCACACUGGAACUGAGACACGGUCCAGACGCCUACGGGAGGCAGCAGUGGGGAAUGUUGCACAAUGGGGGAAACCCUGAGGCAGCCAUGCCGCGUGUGUGAAGAAGGCCUUCGGGUUGUAAAGCACUUUCAGCGAGGAGGAAAGGUUGAUGCCUAAUACGUAUCAACUGUGACGUUACUCGCAGAAGAAGCACCGGCUAACUCCGUGCCAGCAGCCGCCGUAA